Molecule: ribosomal RNA, 326 nt
Filed under: uncultured eukaryote
Lineage: Eukaryota
Description: partial 18S ribosomal RNA
Rfam family: Eukaryotic small subunit ribosomal RNA
Source: RNAcentral
CCCUUAGAUGUUCUGGGCUGCACGCGCGCUACACUGAUGCGCUCAACGAGUUUUAACCUUGCCUGGAAAGGUUGGGUAAUCUUUUUAAAACGCAUCGUGAUGGGGAUAGAUUAUUGCAAUUAUUAAUCUUCAACGAGGAAUUCCUAGUAAGCGCGAGUCAUCAGCUCGUGCUGAUUACGUCCCUGCCCUUUGUACACACCGCCCGUCGCUACUACCGAUUGAAUGGUUUAGUGAGGCCUCGGGACUGGCGCGCUUGAGCAGCAAUGCACGGACGCGCCGGGAACUUGGUCAAACUUGAUCAUUUAGAGGAAGUAAAAGUCGUAACA